Molecule: long non-coding RNA, 1299 nt
Organism: Oncorhynchus tshawytscha (Chinook salmon)
Lineage: Eukaryota; Metazoa; Chordata; Actinopteri; Salmoniformes; Salmonidae
Source: Ensembl
AUUGUGUUGUUUAAGUGUUCCCUUUAUUUUUUUGAGCAGUGUAUAUAUAUAUACACACACACACACACCCCAGUACAACAUGUUGGGAAGAGAGGAGGAGAGCGGUGAAAAGUCAACUGACAGGUUCAUGUCUGCCCAGAGCUGGCUACAGGAGUACAUUAACACCAAUAUGUGAAAUGGCGGGGGGGAGAGAAAGAGAGAGGCGCUUGCGGUCUGUCCCUAAGGAGGCUGGUGUGUGUGGUGUGAGGGGAAUGUCUUGGGAGCGCAGUGUUACUCUGGUGAAGGUAAUAAAUAUACCCGGCAGCACCUCAGAGAUCCACCACCAGCUUUACUGACACAAUAUUAUUCUGCUGCCCCAAACCCCACUGGGACAAUGGGGUGGUGUGUGUAUGGGUUGAGAGAGUAACUCUGGUUAAAGAUUCUGCCCAUAUGAUUGGGUGCCACUGGGGUCGUCAGAGUCCGUUCCCCUGCAGCCUGGUCUCCAAGAAACCAUCACAUCAACUGAUGCCGCAAUUCUCUCAUGAUCAUUUAGUACCUUAUGUAGGCAAGUUGACAUUAAACAUGAUCCUGACCUGAGCAGGAAGAAGUCCAGGCUCUAGUAACAGGUUCCAACUCUGGGCUCUAGUAACAGGGUCCAACUCUGGGCUCUAGUAACAGGUUCCAACUCUGGGCUCUAGUAACAGGUUCCAACUCUGGGUUCUAGUAACAGGGUCCAACUCUGGGCUCUAGUAACAGGUUCCAACUCUGGGCUCUAGUAACAGGGUCCAACUCUGGGCUCUAGUAACAGGGUCCAACUCUGGGCUCUAGUAACGGGGUUCAACUCCGGGCUCUAGUAACGGGGUCCAACUCCGGGCUCUAGUAACGGGGUCCAACUCCGGGCUCUAGUAACGGGGUCCAACUCCGGGCUCUAGUAACGGGGUCCAACUCCGGGCUCUAGUAACGGGGUCCAACUCCGGGCUCAAUCUGUCUGUCAUGUAGAAUAGGGAAUCCAGUCUGCUAUAUUCAUUACGUUUUUAUCUGUGACAUUCUAAAUGUUUCAUCUUGCUGAAUAUACCCCAGCAGAUUUCCAGGAAGGUUAUGGUGUGUUAGGGUGUCGCUAUAGGCUGAAGUGUGCAUGAGGGUGUAAAAUGGGAAUAUACAGUGGUCAGUUUAUUAGGUACACCACCCCGUUUACGAAAUGGUUCGCUCCUACAGACAGUGAGCCACGUGGUCUGCUAUAUAAAGCAGGCAGACAUUGAGGCAUUCCGUUAGAAUGGGCAAAACCAGUGACCUAAGCAACUGAGUGUGGUAUGAUUGUCG